CCCUUAGAUGUUCUGGGCCACACACGCGCUACAAUGACAAAGUCAACGAGUAGAUCCGUUACUGAUAAGUACCGGUAAUCUUUUCAGUCUUUGUCGUGAUGGGGAUAGACCCUUGUAAUUAUUGGUCUCCAACGAGGAAUUCCUAGUAAACGCAAGUCAUCAACUUGCAUUGAUUACGUCCCUGCCCUUUGUACACACCGCCCGUCGCACCUACCGAUUGAAUGGCCCGGUGAAGUCUUCGGACUGGAGCUGACUCGUUAGCUCCAGAAAGUUGAGUAAACCUUACCAUUUAGAGGAAGGUGAAGUCGUAACA
This 313-nucleotide ribosomal RNA is filed under the name uncultured eukaryote. RNAcentral's name for it is "partial 18S ribosomal RNA". It matches the Rfam family "Eukaryotic small subunit ribosomal RNA", at positions 1470 to 1796 of the family's 1831-position model. The record is from RNAcentral.